GGGACACGUGGUAUCCUGUCUGAAUAUGGGGGGACCAUCCUCCAAGGCUAAAUACUCCUGACUGACCGAUAGUGAACCAGUACCGUGAGGGAAAGGCGAAAAGAACCCCGGCGAGGGGAGUGAAAAAGAACCUGAAACCGUGUACGUACAAGCAGUGGGAGCACGCUUAGGCGUGUGACUGCGUACCUUUUGUAUAAUGGGUCAGCGACUUAUAUUCUGUAGCAAGGUUAACCGAAUAGGGGAGCCGAAGGGAAACCGAGUCUUAACUGGGCGUUAAGUUGCAGGGUAUAGACCCGAAACCCGGUGAUCUAGCCAUGGGCAGGUUGAAGGUUGGGUAACACUAACUGGAGGACCGAACCGACUAAUGUUGAAAAAU
RNAcentral lists this ribosomal RNA (376 nucleotides) under Escherichia coli. RNAcentral describes it as "partial 23S ribosomal RNA". It matches the Rfam family "Bacterial large subunit ribosomal RNA", at positions 419 to 797 of the family's 2925-position model. The record is from RNAcentral. Lineage: Bacteria; Pseudomonadati; Pseudomonadota; Gammaproteobacteria; Enterobacterales; Enterobacteriaceae.